Molecule: ribosomal RNA, 495 nt
Filed under: uncultured bacterium
Lineage: Bacteria
Description: partial 16S ribosomal RNA
Rfam family: Bacterial small subunit ribosomal RNA
Source: RNAcentral
AUGAACGCUGGCGGCGUGCCUAAUACAUGCAAGUCGAGCGAACAGACGAGGAGCUUGCUCCUCUGACGUUAGCGGCGGACGGGUGAGUAACACGUGGAUAACCUACCUAUAAGACUGGGAUAACUUCGGGAAACCGGAGCUAAUACCGGAUAAUAUAUUGAACCGCAUGGUUCAAUAGUGAAAGACGGUUUUGCUGUCACUUAUAGAUGGAUCCGCGCCGCAUUAGCUAGUUGGAAGGUAACGGCUUACCAAGGCAACGAUGCGUAGCCGACCUGAGAGGGUGAUCGGCCACACUGGAACUGAGACACGGUCCAGACUCCUACGGGAGGCAGCAGUAGGGAAUCUUCCGCAAUGGGCGAAAGCCUGACGGAGCAACGCCGCGUGAGUGAUGAAGGUCUUCGGAUCGUAAAACUCUGUUAUUAGGGAAGAACAAAUGUGUAAGUAACUAUGCACGUCUUGACGGUACCUAAUCAGAAAGCCACGGCUAACUACGUG